Passer domesticus (house sparrow) is the source of this 7781-nucleotide long non-coding RNA. RefSeq lists it as uncharacterized. The record is from RefSeq and is a predicted model, not a curated record. NCBI's taxonomy places the organism in Eukaryota, Metazoa, Chordata, Aves, Passeriformes, Passeridae. The transcript has 3 exons.
GGAAGGAUCUGUGUGUCAUUUCGUGGAACUACUCUGUGACAUCACGGAGGCCAAACCCAACAUGGAGGUGCUGGCUGUUCUGUGCUGUCAUUGAUGGUCAUCCCUGCACAUUGCAAUCAGAAAACAGAUAAUUUCUCAAAGAUGUUUCUCUUUUUAAGAUGGUCAGAGUAGGAGGAAUGUUUUUAUAUCUUAGUUUUUUUUUCAGUUGUGCUGUUGCUGUACGUCAUUAAUGCAAUAUACUCUGCAUUUUUUGGUGGAUCUUAGGAAAAUAAUGAAAACCACCUGAGGACUGAGACUUUGUGGAGCAGUGCAUAGUGUAUUCUAAAACCUUUCUUUUUUUUUCCUCCUGGUGGUAUGAUAGAUCCUGGUUUGUUAAUUAGUGCUGUUUGUUCACUUUGCAGUAACAGCUGACCAGCCUGAGUCUUCCAGGGAGUACCAGGGAGUCCCACCAGUUCAGUGGUUUAUGGCAGUAUUGUUAUAAGAGUUCUAGAAGUCUGUUCCUUAUUUCAGAAGAAAAUAAUUCUAUGAAAAUUCAAAAUUGCCACUGCAGAUAAUCUCUCUGUUCUUUCAACAGGCACAUGGAGGGGAAAAUUUUUGGGGAAGGGGAAAAGAGCAGCUCCCUGCUGUUAUUCCAGAGCAAAUGUUCUCAAAGGUAUGGACAAUUUUAAAGUAUAGGUGUAACUAUUCAGCAUCAUGCCUUUUUCUGUCCUGAAGGUGCAGCCAAUAUCUGAACUGUGAGAGGGAAGGCAAUAACCACUGUGCUGACACUGGAAAGAACAAAGGAAAAGGAAAAGUCUUUAAAAUACAUGCAAGAAUGCAUAAAGAUUUACAGUGGACUAUUACAUGUGGCUCUUUCCAGGACAUUAAUUUAAUUGGUUCUUUUCAGGUGUAAAUAAAAAUGUGGCCUUGUAUUAAAUGUUGGAUAGCCUCAUAUCACCUACUCAUGCUUAAAACCACUCCAACUUUUAGUGUGGAUGGCUUAUCUUCAUGUCAGCCUGUUAAUUCUUUAGGAAAUCUGUUUUGCAUCUAGACAUUUUUAUAUUUGGUGCAAGGGUCCCAAAAUGUAUCAUGCAUGCUCUACUUGUUGUUUGUUUGUCUUCUUAUAAUCAUUAUUAUGAAAUUUAUAUAAAGGGAUACAGAAAAGUAUUAGUUAUGGUGAAAUUGUUAAGCAGUGAUUUCCACCAGAGCUGUGUGGCAGUAUUACCAGAACUACUACAAUCUUUUUCUUCUCACAGUAAUUUAAGGAAAAGAUUGUGUUUUUGUGGGAAUGCUUAUAUUUUUACUAUUAACAUAAAUUAAGACAAAAUUAAGUCUCAAAUAUGAGUCUAUCAACUUAUGCAUAAUUUUUUUGAGUAAUUGACUGCUGGUGUCGUCACAGGCAAUGGAUCUGGAGACUGGUUCUGUAAGAUCAGUCAUAAUGUCACUACGGAACCAAUGGAUUAAGAAAGGGGGUCUAUAUUCAGGAAAGCAGUUAAUUCCUCCAAUGUUGAUGUGGUUAAACUCAAUCAAAAUCUAAGAGAGAAGUCAGAUCUAUUAUCAGUGAAAUACAUUUUUGUCUCUGUUGGUGUUAAUGUAAGAUUUUCUUUAGCUGAAGCAGCUUAUUGAUGUUUAAUUAGAAUUUUGAAUAACACUUAGAAUCAUCAAUUUUAACAAAUUUACCAAAUUUAUACAGAUUUUUUUUUCUGGUGCCCAUCUGUGUCAGUUGUAAUAGACUCAGGGCUUUAAUGAUGCAAAUUAAAUUUUCCAGUGAGAGAAAUGCCAGUAUAGGCCAAGAAUUAAUUCUGAAUCCAGAGGGGGAAGAGCAAACUAUUAAUUCAUUACAUCUGGCAGAAGCAAUUCAGUAGCUUCCUCUCUAGUUACUUUAGUUCUAUUUGUUCUGAAAAAGCAAAGGAAACCAACCCUUCCUGUAUGUGUUUUGCACAUGGGGUUGCUGGACUCUUCUCUCAGACAGACCUGGUUGUCUGUUGCUUUCUUUAUUUUUCUUGCUCUGCUGUCACAAACCUCUAAAGACAGGUGAUGGAGAGAGCACUGAAAUCCCCUCUGAAUCAGUGCAGCCCCAGGUGCACCAGCAGUGUCUCAAAAAUCACGUGCUUAACCCUGGAUCAGUACAACAGGAACUGUGGCACAGGAAUGGUGGGAAGAAUAGCUGGAAGGAGAGCUGGAGGUGCUGAUACUCAUGUGGAAAUGUUUACAUCCUGCUGAUGAAGCUCUGCCAAAGCCAUUCAUCGUAUCUUGCCUAAAUCUGGCAAGAAUGGGGAAACUGACAAGGAAAUUGCUAAUCUUAGUGAGGGGAAUGGGUUUUUUUGGUGACACAAAGGUGAAUCUUGGGUCAGAAUCAGGGAUGAGUUGAAAUCCUAAAAAAAAAAUCCAUUAUAUUUCAUGUCCUUCUCUCCUGUGCAGAUGUGGAUGCUUUGGAUGUUUUUCUCUGGUUUGACAAGGGUUUAUAUUCUAAAAGCUGUCAAAAUCAUUUUCCACAAUAAAAGUUCAGUAAAUUAAGACUUCAAAAACAAGCAAAAAGAAAAAGAGAACAUUUUCAAGCAAUUAAUAAAUAUAUUUGUGUUUUAGGUUUGUCAUUUACAGGUGUAUGAACAAUAGAAAAGUCCUUUUUUUAAUUUCCUUAAUAAUUUGCUUAUGAAUACAAUUCUUUGAAUAAGUACAUGCUGUGAAUAUCAAGUGUGAAAAUAGUCCAGGUUUCACAAGAAUGUUGCAUAAAACCAAAAUGAGAACAUAAUGUUUCUGGAAAUAGUCACAGGUACUGACCACUGCUUGGGGAACAUUUGCUUCAAAGUAUGUAAGGGCAUUUUUAGGUAUUUAAACUGAAAACAAGCAGUUUAAUUAAAAAUAAAUCCCACAUGCUGGAUGAAGUACAUGGCUGCUUGGGUGGUAAUGCUUUUAGGCUUAUAUUCUAUACAGAAUUUUAGAAAUCCCACCUUACCUGUCAUGAAAUCCUUUUGUGUCAGAGUCAACCUACAUGAGGAGAUAAACAGAUGGUAUAACUGAGAGCACACAAAAUGCUAGCUUAGGUAAAAUGCACACUGCUGAUAACCCACUAAGCCUUCCUGGGUAUGCUAAUCCUAAUUUAUGUUAAACCGUAAUUAAGACAGUUUUGUUUAUUGCUUGUAGCCAUGAGCACCUGGAAGACUGACUAAUCCCAUCCAUGUGUUGGGGACAAUCCAGCAGCUAUUGUUAACUCAGAAUGCAGAAAAAAUUGUAUUUGUGAGUUGUUUUCAUUGGUGUUUUUCAGGCAUUUAUAGAGGCUCUUUUCCCCAUCGUCUCAGGAACUGGAACAGAAGAAGCAUCCUAAACAAAAUGGAUGAAGGGAUUUUUGGAACAGGAGGCCAAAAUCUAAAUAGGCUUAAUGUGUUUCCAGCCAAACUUUAAAUCAGAAUAUCUCUGAUAUACCCAUGCAAAAAUAGAUUCACAACUUCUCUUGUAGCUGUGCCUCUGUCUGGUGCUGCACAUUUAAUUAGGCAUAACUGUCAGAUUUUCAGGAUUCUGAAGGGUUUUAUUCAGGUGGCCAUGAGUGCUACUAUUAAAGUGAAACGAUGAGUGAUGGGCAGAGAAAAAGGGGCAGAACAAACUGAAUCCUAGGAGAAUAAUGCCAUAGGAAUGGGAACACUUAAGCCCACUAGGUGCAAAAUUUCAUGUUUUCAGCUGCAUUCUUUUUCUUAUUAUAGACUAAACCUAUGUUCUCACAAAUGUUGCUGUAUAUGUAUCAGGUACAGGUUUUUGACCUGGUACAUGGAUUCACACAAUUACAUCAGUCAUGGAUUGUGCCCUCAGUUGGCAAUAAUUGUUUUCUGUUUCAUGUAUAGCAUUUCUUAAACUGUAGGUAGGAGUACCCAGGUCAAUAUAAAUUAUUACUGUGAAAGAUUUUUCCCUUUAGAAGAAUUCUUGCCCUAGAAGUGUAUUCAUUCUAAUGACCUCAAAUCAUCCAGUUUAAAAGUCAUGCAAGAAUGGUAAUGUUUUUCAUCUUCUAUUGUUAAAUAUUUGAGCUGUUUCAGGAUUUCUUGUUCUUAAAAGUUUCAUUUUCUGCCUUGUCAUGAUGGAAAAUAUGCAAACCACUUUUAAGUGAUAACUAUAUUCUCUGUACUGUUUUGAAGUCAGCCCAUGCAGAGACCACUUGCAGUGUGGAAAUUUGGAUCUAAUUAUCCAUUCAUUACAUAUUGAAAAGUAUUCAUUGAAUGAAUUUUUCAUCAGGUCGUGGUAAAACAGAAAUAAAGAAUUAAGGACUGAAGGUGAGCAUGUGUCUCAUAGUUUGAACAGAAUUCAAGUGUUAGUGCAACUGCUUUGCAAAACCCUCUGAUUCUUCUCAGGUUUAACUCAUGGUAUUUGUAAUUACGUAAAUUUUCUUGUCAGUUACAAUUAGAUUUGAUUUUUGUAAGAAAUCAAAAUUAGAAAUGAAAAUUUUGCAGUGUGCAUACAUUUGUUAUAGAGCCUAAAAUGAAUGCCUUAUCUGCAAUAAUUUCAUGUGGAUUCUUCUUAUGGACAGCAGAGAGCAGCAGUGUGAUGACCUGAAUCAGAAGGAAUAAUGUUAAGGAAUUCUGAAACUAACUAACAAGUUAAAUGCUUCCAAAAGAACCCCAAUUAUUGCCCUCAUACCAGUGGAAUUCUUUUUUGAGAGACUUUUGCAAAGAAAAAAAAUGGGAGAUUGUGGAAAAAAGAAAAAAGAUAUUUCCAAUAAAACAACUAUUAUGAAAAUAUUUGUCAAACAAGAUGUUUACAUAGAGCAAAAAAAAAGUGAUAGGAGAGGGUGAGUAACUAAUUAAGGGAAAAGAAGGAUUAGUGUCUGAGCUGUGUUUAGAACUGUCCAAAAUGAUGAUGUACAGCAACAGAGAAACAUUAGAUCACAGGCUAUAGCUUAAAGAAAAAAAUUACUUGAAUGUGUGAUUAAUAGUCAGAAAUUGGUGAAUUGAAUAACCUGAAAUUUUGGAAAUCAAUAACAGUGUCUGCAGGUAAUCUGCAAGUUAGUAUUUUUGUUUGUCUUGGGAGUUCAUGGGUACAGAUCAAACCACAUGAAAUCAUUCAGGGUAGAAGUCAUGUGCAAUAGAAAAUACUUUUUCUCAGGACUUGAAAAUACUUUUUUCAUGUAUCCCACUUCAUCUGAUAGCUAAAAGCCCAGAUUUACAAUUUUGGAUAUUUUUUACCAGUGGCUGUGUUUUACCCUCCAUUAUUUUCCAUAGUAAAAACAGGAUGCAGACUCUGGUGGGUAAUGAGCAGAUAUAAAUACCUAUGAGUCAGAUAAAUUAUGCUGGGUCCCUUCAUUGCAGGGAUGCUGCUGCCCUGAAGGAUGCAGGCAGCUGCUGUUGCCCUGGUGAUUGCUCCUUGGAGUCUGGGCUGCACAGGGCUGCAUUCCUCACCUCUCCUUAGGUCUUUGCAUUUCUGUAGACAGCUCCUGUGGACAAAGGCCACAAAUUAAAUGCAAAGAAAUGAAACAGCAAGCACAGAGCCUGAAUGUGAUAUGUUGAAAAUGGCAUAUGGUUUAUAAGGAGUAUCACAGUAUCUUAAUAGGAAACUAAACAUAGAUGCACAAAAUCUCUGCCAAGCUGAUCUGAGGUCUGAGUUUGUGUGUCCCAUCUGAGUCAGAAGGGACAGCAAGUGGAGUUUUCUGAUGGCUGAAUUAUUGAGGUGGCUAUGUGCAAACUUUUUUUACGCUUUUAUAUUUUUUUCCUGUCUCUUCUGCUUUAGGCCCCAAGAUCUGAUCUGAACAGUUCUGAAUUAAAAAUAAAAGCUGCUACAUUUCACAAGUAGCAGAGUAUUUUUUUUUUCAGAGCUCAACUCUCUGUUUCAUUUAAUAAUGAAAUUUUUAUUCUUUGAUUUUUUCAGUUAUUUUCCCUCAUAAUAAAACAGGCUUAACUUUGGAAACAGGUGGUCCUUUAGCUCUUCAGAAUUUUCCCUGAAUUUUUGUUUUACAAAGGUUUCAAUAAUGCAGACUAUUCUUAAUGUCUUUGUGAUCCUCAUUUUUUGAGCUUUGUGUACUCCUCAUAGCCUGUUUCUAAAAUUCUCCCCUUCUUCAGACAGCCUAAACAUUUCUUGAGCCUGAAAUCAUGACUGAAAUUCUAGACUAAGCUGUUAUGCAGUAAGUUGCUUUUCAAACAGAUCUGAUCCCAAAACUUUUUACUUUGCUAUUAUGUAAUUUCAUGCUCUCAUGCCAAUAGUUUGAGCUUCUGUCUCCCUCAAAUUAGCUGAUAAUACAGAAAAUUUAAACCAUGUGUAGAAAAUCAAUAAUUAAAUAAUUUUGGCUCUGCCUUCUUCACUCUCAAAUCCUGCAAUCACUGCAUCAGCAGAGAAUGUUGAGCAUAAUCCUUUUAAUGCAUUGACCACAUAUGUCAACACCUGCUUCUGUCAGCUGUCAGAAGAUAGAAUGGCUUUUCUGAUAGAGCUUUUUCUAAAAUAAGGAUUAUUUACUCUUUUUGUCUCUCUGUAGAUCUGAUUUGGCUGGUUGACUUCAGUGAUUUAAGGUCAAUAAGAGUGCAAUUUCUGAGCAGUUUGGUUUAUGACACCUUUUUUUGUUCAAAUUCUUGUUGACUACAUUAAGGGGAGAACAAAUUCCUAAUUGUUCCUUGGUGAUAUAAAUAACUCAAUGGUCCAAAAACCACAACCGGAUUUUAUUGCAAAGUGGAGUUUGGGGAAUAUUGAACUUCCAGAUAACACUAAAGUAACAUGGAUAGUAGAUAGAUUUUCUUAUUUCUCAUUUUAUUUUGUUCUUUCUCUAAUUGUUUCUUGGACUUCUGUGCAGUUUAGUUUAUUGAUGAAUUAUGUUUGUAUGGAAUAGAAGCCUAUAGCUGCCAGUUUAUUUCUAGGAAGUCAGUGUUAUAAUUGCAUAUAAUUGCUGGUAUUAUCAACUAGAUUUUCUCAGUAUUUUCCUUAGUUGUAGUCACAUGAUUCCUGAGUGUGCUACCACUCACAACUUACACCUGUUUUGAUUUUAGUUGCCAGAACUGCCAAUUUCAAACUUAAACCAUAAGCUUUCUUUUAAAUUAUGAGCUCCCAAAUACCCAGAAAGAAGGCAGUAUGACUAAAUGUCACUUAAGAAAGUGAUGGAAAAAAAACCACUUCCAUGUAACUGUAGUUUAUUACCUAUAUUUUUAUGUAUCUUCUGUCUUUCAGGAGAGGGAAAUACAAGGUGUUGGUAAAACCCCAUAAUGUUUGCAAUGGAGCUUAUACAUUCUUAAGUUCUUUUGCCAUGUUUUGAAGGUCAAUGGAAAUGUACCCAAAAACUAAAAAACCCCAAAUUAAAUUUGCUAAAAGGAAAAUAAAAUCCACACCAAGGCAAAAGCCUCUCUUCCAGGAUAUCCGUCAGCUUUCCUAUGAAAUGGGGAGAUGUAGGGAUACUUUGGAUGUUGGGUAACUUUGGGGAAGAUCAUGUUACCUCACUGGUUGUAAGGAAGGCAACUGACAUCUCUUUGGGCAGGAUUCAGCUGUGUCUCAAUACAUCUAAAAUCAGAGGAGAACAUAGAAUUAGUUAUACCUAAUUUGUCACAAUCGUUGUUUAAGUGAUUUUGCUACAGUAAUUAUUGCCUAAUAUCAGCAUUCUUUCUCUAACACACAUCUUCUGUCACUUAACUCACUAUUGCAGGAUAAUUAUUCCAGUGGAACCAUCACUUGUGCAGGCUUGGUACAGCAUUAUAGUAAUAAAGAAAUCAAAACAGACUUUUAAAGUACUCUUAAUUCCCUUUGUAUCAUAGCAAAUGCUUAAAGCAGUCUGUAGAUGAAUUUUUAGUAUGUAUUUGUAGUUGUAACUUUUCUUCCUAAAUCAGAAGCACAGAAAAAAAUCUAAG